GAUGAACGCUAGCGGCAAGCUUAAUACAUGCAAGUCGUGGGGCAGCAUGAACUAGCAAUAGUUUGAUGGCGACCGGCAAACGGGUGCGGAACACGUACACAACCUCCCGAUAAGUGGGGAAUAGCCCAGAGAAACUUGGAUUAAUACCCCGUAACAUUGCGAUGUGGCAUCACAUUGCAAUUAUAGCUUCGGCGCUUAUUGAUGGGUGUGCGUAUGAUUAGAUAGUUGGCGAGGUAACGGCUCACCAAGUCUACGAUCAUUAGCUGAUGUGAGAGCAUGAUCAGCCACACGGGCACUGAGACACGGGCCCGACUCCUACGGGAGGCAGCAGUAAGGAAUAUUGGUCAAUGGACGAAAGUCUGAACCAGCUAUGCCGCGUGAAGGAUUAAGGUCCUCUGGAUUGUAAACUUCUUUAUAUGGGACGAAAAAAGGUCUUUCUAGAUCACUUGACGAUACCAUAUGAAUAAGC
Molecule: ribosomal RNA, 469 nt
Filed under: uncultured bacterium
Lineage: Bacteria
Description: bacterial SSU rRNA
Rfam family: Bacterial small subunit ribosomal RNA
Source: RNAcentral